GACGAACGCUGGCGGCGUGCCUAACACAUGCAAGUUGAGCGACGAACCAGGGCUUGCCCUGGGGCAAAGCAGCGAACGGGUGAGUAACACGUGGGUAACAUACCCCGAUAACCGGGACAACCCGAGGAAACCCGGGAUAAUACCGGAUGUGCUCACUGGACUUCGGUUCAGUGCGUAAAGGAAGCUUCGGCCUCCGUAUCGGGACGGGCCCGCGGCCCAUUAGUUAGUUGGUGAGGUAACGGCUCACCAAGACCGCGAUGGGUAGCUGGUCUGAGAGGACGAUCAGCCACACUGGGACUGAGACACGGCCCAGACUCCUACGGGAGGCAGCAGUGGGGAAUCUUGCGCAAUGCGCGAAAGCGUGACGCAGCAACGCCGCGUGGGGGAAGAAGGCCUUCGGGUUGUAAACCCCUUUCAGGAGGGACGAAGGUUCGGCGGUGAAUAGCCGUCCGGACUGACGGUACCUGCACAAGAAGGCCCGGCUAACUACGUGCCAGCCGCCGCCGUAA
Molecule: ribosomal RNA, 509 nt
Filed under: uncultured bacterium
Lineage: Bacteria
Description: partial 16S ribosomal RNA
Rfam family: Bacterial small subunit ribosomal RNA
Source: RNAcentral